This 253-nucleotide ribosomal RNA is filed under the name uncultured bacterium. Its description in RNAcentral is "partial 16S ribosomal RNA". It matches the Rfam family "Bacterial small subunit ribosomal RNA", at positions 524 to 776 of the family's 1533-position model. The record is from RNAcentral.
UACGUAGGGGGCAAGCGUUGUCCGGAUUUAUUGGGCGUAAAGAGCGUGUAGGCGGCCUUACAGGUCAGCUGUGAAAACUCGAGGCUCAACCUCGAGACGUCGGUUGAAACCGUAUGGCUAGAGUCCGGAAGAGGAGAGUGGAAUUCCCGGUGUAGCGGUGAAAUGCGCAGAUAUCGAGAGGAACACCAGUGGCGAAGGCGGCUCACUGGCCCGGUACUGACGCUGAGGCACGAAAGCGUGGGGAGCAAACAGG